GACGAACGCUGGCGGCGUGCUUAACACAUGCAAGUCGAACGGAAAGGCCCCUUUGGGGGUACUCGAGUGGCGAACGGGUGAGUAACACGUGAGUAACCUGCCCUUGACUUCGGGAUAACUUCAGGAAACUGGGGCUAAUACCGGAUAGGAAUCCUUGCUGCAUGGUGGGGGUUGGAAAGCUUCGGCGGUUUUGGAUGGACUGGCGGCUUAUCAGCUUGUUGGUGGGGUAGUGGCUUACCAAGGCUUUGACGGGUAGCCGGCCUGAGAGGGCGACCGGCCACAUUGGGACUGAGGUACGGCCCAGACUCCUACGGGAGGCAGCAGUGGGGAAUAUUGCACAAUGGGCGGAAGCCUGAUGCAGCAACGCCGCGUGCGGGAUGACGGCCUUCGGGUUGUAAACCGCUUUCAGCAGGGGCGAAGCUUGUGGUGACGGUACCUGCAGAAGAAGCACCGGCUAACUACGUG
RNAcentral lists this ribosomal RNA (465 nucleotides) under uncultured bacterium. Its description in RNAcentral is "partial 16S ribosomal RNA". It matches the Rfam family "Bacterial small subunit ribosomal RNA", at positions 28 to 507 of the family's 1533-position model. The record is from RNAcentral.